CCUACGGGUGGCAGCAGUAGGGAAUAUUGGUCAAUGGGCGAAAGCCUGAAGCAGCAACGCCGCGUGGAGGAUGAAGGUUUUCGGGUUGUAAACUUCUUUUGUUAGAGAAGAUUAUGACGGUAUCUCUCCAGAAUGACACGGCUCUCGCCGGGUCCGACGCGGCGGUAAUACGUAGGUGGCAAGCGUUAUCCGGAUUUAUUGGGUGUAAAGGGAGCGUAGGCGGGGUUUCAAGUCUGAUGUGAAAUCCCUCGGCGUAACCGGAGUAGUGCAUUUGAAACUGGUGUACUUGAGUACAGGAGAGGAAGGUGGAAGUCCAAGUGUAGCGGUGAAAUGCGUAGAUAUAAGGAAGAACACCAGUGGCGAAGGCGGCUCGCUGGACAGUAACUGACGCUGAGGCGCGAAAGCGUGGGUAGCAAACAGGAUUAGAUACCCUAGUAGUC
Molecule: ribosomal RNA, 440 nt
Filed under: uncultured bacterium
Lineage: Bacteria
Description: partial 16S ribosomal RNA
Rfam family: Bacterial small subunit ribosomal RNA
Source: RNAcentral